UGGCGGCGUGUUUAAGACAUGCAAGUCGCACGGGAUUGGUUGAGUAGUAAUACGAGAUCAGUCUAGUGGCGCACGGGUGAGUAACAUGUGAAUUACAUGCCCUUCAGUGGGGAAUAGCCCAGGGAAACUUGGAUUAAUACCCCAUGGUAUCGCAAGAUUAAAGGUGGCCGCAAGGCUGCCGCUGAAGGAUUGGUUCGCACCCUAUCAGCUUGUUGGCGGGGUAACGGCCCACCAAGGCUACGACGGGUACCUGGUCUGAGAGGACGAUCAGGCACACUGGAACUGAGACACGGUCCAGACACCUACGGGUGGCAGCAGUCGAGAAUAAUUCACAAUGGGGGCAACCCUGAUGGUGCAACGCCGCGUGGAGGAUGACGGUCUUCGGAUUGUAAACUCCUGUCAUCGCAGAGUAAGGCUGUUAUGUGAAUAGCAUAACAGAUUGAUAGUAUUCGAAGAGGAAGGGACGGCUAACUUCGUGCCAGCAGCCGCGGUAAUACGAAGGUCCCAAGCGUUGUUCGGAAUCACUGGGCGUAAAGGGAGCGUAGGCGGCGAGGUAAGUCAGAUGUGAAAUUCCGGGGCUCAACCUCAGAACUGCAUCCGAUACUGCCUUGCUAGAGUAGUGGAGGGGCAUCUGGAAUUCACGGUGUAGCAGUGAAAUGCUAGAGAUCGUGAGGAACACUAGUGGCGAAGGCGAGACUCUGGACACUUACUGACGCUGAGGCACGAAGGCCAGGGUAGCGAAAGGGAUUAGAUACCCCUGUAGUCCUGGCAGUAAACGGUGCACGUUUGGUGUGGGGAGAUUCGACCCUCCCUGUGCCGGAGCUAACGCGUUAAACGUGCCGCCUGGGGAGUACGGCCGCAAGGCUAAAACUCAAAGAAAUUGACGGGGACCCGCACAAGCGGUGGAGUAUGUGGCUUAAUUCGAUGCAACGCGAAGAACCUUACCUGGGCUUGACAUGCAUCGCUAAACCGGUGAAAGCCGGGGAGACUUCGGUCACCUUGCACAGGUGCUGCAUGGCUUUCGUCAGCUCGUGUCGUGAGAUGUUGGGUUAAGUCCCGCAACGAGCGCAACCCUUGUGACUAGUUGCCAGCACGUAAUGGUGGGAACUCUAGUCAGACUGCCCAGAUCAACUGGGAGGAAGGUGGGGACGACGUCAGGUCAGUAUGGCCCUUACGCCUAGGGCUGCACACGUACUACAAUGCCCAGCACAAUGAGAACCGAUGCCGCGAGGUGGAGGAAAUCUGUAAAACUGGGCUCAGUUCGGAUUGGAGGCUGCAACUCGCCUCCAUGAAGUUGGAAUCGCUAGUAAUGCCGUAUCAGCUACGACGGCGUGAAUACGUUCCCGGGUCUUGUACACACCG
Molecule: ribosomal RNA, 1362 nt
Filed under: uncultured prokaryote
Description: partial 16S ribosomal RNA
Rfam family: Bacterial small subunit ribosomal RNA
Source: RNAcentral